This 601-nucleotide long non-coding RNA is filed under the name Nicotiana benthamiana. Its description in RNAcentral is "long non-coding RNA (NBEN_LNC006770)". The record is from RNAcentral. Lineage: Eukaryota; Viridiplantae; Streptophyta; Magnoliopsida; Solanales; Solanaceae.
AAAUAUCAAAUUGUUAUAGAAAAAUCUAGAUAUAAAAAGAUAAGAUAUCAAGGUCAAAUCCCAUGAUGAUGUUACUUUCUAUGUUUUCUCAACACCUCAACAAAAAAACUUAGCUAUCAUCCUAAGCUAGACUAUGAUAUCAAGUUUUGUAUAAUAUUCUUAGCAAAAUAAUAAUGAGCUUGUGCAUUGGAGAUCGACAAAACAUCUGGUCGUUAAACCAUUUUCGUGACCAACCUUUAACUGGUCCUAGAUUAUUUUUAGAGACGUCCCUAUUUAAAAUAAUUUGUAAUUUAGCGAAAUAUUCAUGGUCCGUAAUAACCAUGAGUAGUCUUAAAAGCUCAAUGCAACAAAAAGUAAUUUUUAUCAAUAAAUAUCAAAUUGUUAUAGAAAAAUAUAGAUAUAAAAAGAUAACAUAUCAAGGUUAAAUCCCAUAAUGGUGUUACUUUCUAUGUUUUCUCAAUACCUUAACUAAAAAAAACUUAGCUAUCAUCCUAAGCUAGACUAAGAUAUCAAGUUUUGCAUAACAUUUUUAGCAAAAUAAUAAUGAGCUUGUACAUCUUCUAAGCUUGCAUCUUGACUUGUAACUUCAAUCUACAAAAUC